RNAcentral lists this long non-coding RNA (793 nucleotides) under Sparus aurata (gilthead seabream). RNAcentral's name for it is "lncRNA (ENSSAUG00010012359.1)". Lineage: Eukaryota; Metazoa; Chordata; Actinopteri; Spariformes; Sparidae. The record is from RNAcentral.
CUGAUCUCAAAGGACAACACAGUUUCAUACUGAUUUACUUUGUUGAUAUGUGGCGGACCCUGCCACAAUUCCAACAAGUCCUCCAACUCAUACGCCCACAGUUGUCGUUGGUCCAUGCACUCGAAUACGACCAUUUGGAGCGUUUUACCACCCCCCUGGAGCGUUUCCAAAAAGCGCCCCCUGUCGGUGACAUGGGAACAGAUACUUUUACAGAACAGAACGGAUUACAGCUAAUUUAUUUUGUUAGCCGCCCUUAAUGAGCUAACCAAGAUGCCAACUCAAAAAAAAUGUGCAGUGUGUGAGGAGAAAAUUGGGGUGGCAAGCAAGACUUGCCACCACUGUGGUGCAAAGCAGCCCCUGAAAGAGAAGCUGCAAAAAAAAAAAGAAAAAAUUACAGCCGGAUGGAAAGAGCGGCAGAAAAAAAACUGCAGCUUCAAUAAAACGUAUGAUUCAUCACAUUUACUGCUCCACAAGUGGGAACUUUUGGAGAGGCACCCCAUCCUCUUCCUAGGAAAAAAAAGCGGAAGGGGCUUUGUGUCAGAGUGGCUGUGUCCAUGGUACAGUGAGAAUGAGAUUGUGAAAGCUUCCAUCCAAGCCAUGGAAGCAAUUUAUGGGAGACUUCUCAAUGGUAAUGUAUAUAAAUGUGCAAUAACGCAAACACAUGAGACUGUUCAGGGAGACACUAGUUACAUUACUUGUCCACUGCCCCAUCCAUUGUUUUUUGUGUUCUUUUAAAUGAUUAGUUUGAUGUUACAAUUGUAAACUGAAAGUGUGUGGUCCAAACAGCAGCAAC